AUUGAACGCUGGCGGCAGGCCUAACACAUGCAAGUCGAGCGGAUGAAGGGAGCUUGCUCCUGGAUUCAGCGGCGGACGGGUGAGUAAUGCCUAGGAAUCUGCCUGGUAGUGGGGGAUAACGUCCGGAAACGGGCGCUAAUACCGCAUACGUCCUGAGGGAGAAAGUGGGGGAUCUUCGGACCUCACGCUAUCAGAUGAGCCUAGGUCGGAUUAGCUAGUUGGUGGGGUAAAGGCCUACUAAGGCGACGAUCCGUAACUGGUCUGAGGGGAUGAUCAGUCACACUGGAACUGAGACACGGUCCAGACUCCUACGGGAGGCAGCAGUGGGGAAUAUUGGACAAUGGGCGAAAGCCUGAUCCAGCCAUGCCGCGUGUGUGAAGAAGGUCUUCGGAUUGUAAAGCACUUUAAGUUGGGAGGAAGGGCAGUAAGUUAAUACCUUGCUGUUUUGACGUUACCAACAGAAUAAGCACCGGCUAACUUCGUG
RNAcentral lists this ribosomal RNA (484 nucleotides) under uncultured bacterium. RNAcentral's name for it is "partial 16S ribosomal RNA". It matches the Rfam family "Bacterial small subunit ribosomal RNA", at positions 30 to 507 of the family's 1533-position model. The record is from RNAcentral.